This 447-nucleotide ribosomal RNA is filed under the name uncultured bacterium. Its description in RNAcentral is "bacterial SSU rRNA". It matches the Rfam family "Bacterial small subunit ribosomal RNA", at positions 355 to 825 of the family's 1533-position model. The record is from RNAcentral.
UCGGGAAUCUUGGACAAUGGGCGCAAGCCUGAUCCAGCCAUGCCGCGUGAGUGACGAAGGUCUUCGGAUUGUAAAGCUCUUUUGGCGGGGACGAUAAUGACGGUACCCGCAGAAUAAGCCCCGGCUAACUUCGUGCCAGCAGCCGCGGUAAUACGAAGGGGGCUAGCGUUGUUCGGAAUUACUGGGCGUAAAGCGCACGUAGGCGGACUCUUAAGUCAGGGGUGAAAUCCCGGGGCUCAACCUCGGAACUGCCCUUGAUACUGUGAGUCUCGAGACCGGAAGAGGUGAGUGGAAUUCCUAGUGUAGAGGUGAAAUUCGUAGAUAUUAGGAAGAACACCAGUGGCGAAGGCGGCUCACUGGUCCGGUUCUGACGCUGAGGUGCGAAAGCGUGGGGAGCAAACAGGAUUAGAUACCCGAGUAGUCCCUGAGCGGGCUGGCAAGGCGCAU